AUGAUCUUGGUGUUCACCUUGAUGCUGGAGGUGCUCCUGUUCCUGAGAGCCGGAGCCCAGUCAGUGACCCAGCCUGACAGGCACGGCAUCACUGUCCCUGAAGGAGCCCACCUGGAGCUGAGGUGCAACUAUACAUCCACUUACUCACCGUAUCUCUUCUGGUACGUGCGGUACCCCAACCAAGGACUCCAGCUUCUCCUAAAGUACACGUCUGGAAACAGCCUUGUUUCAGGCAUCAAAGGUUUUGAGGCUGAAUUUAGGAAGAAUGAAACCUCCUUUCACCUGAGGAAAAUGUCAGCCUAUUGGAGCGACUCGGCAGAGUACUUCUGUGCUCUGGGUGACACAGUGCCUGAGUCUGCGGGGGGAGCUGAACACAAACCGCCUGAGACGUUGUAGCCUAAAAGACUCAGGGGCUCAGCCUGAGCAUAGUCUGUGAGGGCAAACAGCACAGAGAAUACAGAAUCUGGGAAGUGUUUUGUUCCUAUGGGCAUCUCAGAUUCUUUUCAUUUUCAUCUUUCCUUAUCUCUUCUUUUUUCUUCCCUUUUUUCCAUUUAUCUUUUCUUUCCUUUUUUUUUUUUGUUUUCCAUUUUGCAAAGGAAAGUUUUCUGAAGUUUGGAAUGUUUAUCCUCUUGAGUCAGGAUUCCAGAGGGAAUGAGGCUGUCUGAUCUUCAACAAGCUGGAAGGAGCUAC
This is a non-coding RNA of Vicugna pacos (alpaca), 690 nucleotides long. The record is from the annotation of a RefSeq genome assembly. NCBI's taxonomy places the organism in Eukaryota, Metazoa, Chordata, Mammalia, Artiodactyla, Camelidae.